GUCUACGGCCACGCCACCCUGAACAAGCCUGAUGUCUGAUCUUGGAAGCUAGGCAGGGUGGGGCUUGGUUAGUACUUGGAUGGGAGACCCCCUAGGAAGACCAGGUGCUGUAGGUA
This 116-nucleotide ribosomal RNA is filed under the name Pteropus alecto (black flying fox). The record is from RNAcentral. Lineage: Eukaryota; Metazoa; Chordata; Mammalia; Chiroptera; Pteropodidae.